CUGGAGGUAUCAGAAGUGCGAAUGCUGACAUAAGUAACGAUAAAGCGGGUGAAAAGCCCGCUCGCCGGAAGACCAAGGGUUCCUGUCCAACGUUAAUCGGGGCAGGGUGAGUCGACCCCUAAGGCGAGGCCGAAAGGCGUAGUCGAUGGGAAACGGGUUAAUAUUCCCGUACUUGGUGUUACUGCGAAGGGGGGACGGAGAAGGCUAUGUUGGCCGGGCGACGGUUGUCCCGGUUUAAGCGUGUAGGUGUGUGUUCCAGGUAAAUCCGGUUCACUUUAACACUGAGGCGUGACGACGAGGCACUACGGUGCUGAAGCAACAAAUGCCCUGCUUCCAGGAAAAGCCUCUAAGCAUCAGGUAACAUCAAAUCGUACCCCAAACCGACACAGGUGGUCAGGUAGAGAAUACCAAGGCGCUUGAGAGAACUCGGGUGAAGGAACUAGGCAAAAUGGUGCCGUAACUUCGGGAGAAGGCACGCUGACACGUAGGUGAAGUGAUUUACUCAUGGAGCUGAAGUCAGUCGAAGAUACCAGCUGGCUGCAACUGUUUAUUAAAAACACAGCACUGUGCAAACACGAAAGUGGACGUAUACGGUGUGACGCCUGCCCGGUGCCGGAAGGUUAAUUGAUGGGGUCAGCGCAAGCGAAGCUCCUGAUCGAAGCCCCGGUAAACGGCGGCCGUAACUAUAACGGUCCUAAGGUAGCGAAAUUCCUUGUCGGGUAAGUUCCGACCUGCACGAAUGGCGUAAUGAUGGCCAGGCUGUCUCCACCCGAGACUCAGUGAAAUUGAACUCGCUGUGAAGAUGCAGUGUACCCGCGGCAAGACGGAAAGACCCCGUGAACCUUUACUAUAGCUUGACACUGAACAUUGAGCCUUGAUGUGUAGGAUAGGUGGGAGGCUUUGAAGUGUGGACGCCAGUCUGCAUGGAGCCGGCCUUGAAAUACCACCCUUUAAUGUUUGAUGUUCUAACGUGGACCCGUGAUCCGGGUUGCGGACAGUGUCUGGUGGGUAGUUUGACUGGGGCGGUCUCCUCCUAAAGAGUAACGGAGGAGCACGAAGGUUGGCUAAUCCUGGUCGGACAUCAGGAGGUUAGUGCAAUGGCAUAAGCCAGCUUGACUGCGAGCGUGACGGCGCGAGCAGGUGCGAAAGCAGGUCAUAGUGAUCCGGUGGUUCUGAAUGGAAGGGCCAUCGCUCAACGGAUAAAAGGUACUCCGGGGAUAACAGGCUGAUACCGCCCAAGAGUUCAUAUCGACGGCGGUGUUUGGCACCUCGAUGUCGGCUCAUCACAUCCUGGGGCUGAAGUAGGUCCCAAGGGUAUGGCUGUUCGCCAUUUAAAGUGGUACGCGAGCUGGGUUUAGAACGUCGUGAGACAGUUCGGUCCCUAUCUGCCGUGGGCGCUGGAGAACUGAGGGGGGCUGCUCCUAGUACGAGAGGACCGGAGUGGACGCAUCACUGGUGUUCGGGUUGUCAUGCCAAUGGCACUGCCCGGUAGCUAAAUGCGGAAGAGAUAAGUGCUGAAAGCAUCUAAGCACGAAACUUGCCCCGA
This 1546-nucleotide ribosomal RNA is filed under the name Salmonella enterica. RNAcentral describes it as "partial 23S ribosomal RNA". It matches the Rfam family "Bacterial large subunit ribosomal RNA", at positions 1273 to 2802 of the family's 2925-position model. RNAcentral also lists the same sequence under 2 other names. The record is from RNAcentral. Lineage: Bacteria; Pseudomonadati; Pseudomonadota; Gammaproteobacteria; Enterobacterales; Enterobacteriaceae.